RNAcentral lists this ribosomal RNA (253 nucleotides) under uncultured bacterium. RNAcentral's name for it is "partial 16S ribosomal RNA". It matches the Rfam family "Bacterial small subunit ribosomal RNA", at positions 524 to 776 of the family's 1533-position model. The record is from RNAcentral.
UACGUAGGGUGCAAGCGUUAAUCGGAAUUACUGGGCGUAAAGCGUGCGCAGGCGGUUGUGUAAGUUUGUCGUGAAAUCCCCGGGCUCAACCUGGGAAUUGCGAUGAAGACUGCACGGCUAGAGUGUGUCAGAGGGGGGUAGAAUUCCACGUGUAGCAGUGAAAUGCGUAGAUAUGUGGAGGAACACCGAUGGCGAAGGCAGCCCCCUGGGAUAACACUGACGCUCAUGCACGAAAGCGUGGGGAGCAAACAGG